UACACAUCAAACAGUGUGCAUGGCCACACAGUACUUUGCUGACAGGUACACAUCAAACAGUGUGCAUGGCCACACAGUACUUUGCUGACAGGUACACAUCAAACAGUGUGCAUGGCCACACAGUACUUUGCUGACAGGUACACAUCAAACAGUGUGCAUGGCCACACAGUACUUUGCUCACAGGUACACAUCAAACAGUGUGCAUGGCCACACAG
This is a long non-coding RNA of Dreissena polymorpha, 215 nucleotides long. RefSeq lists it as uncharacterized. The transcript is spliced from 3 exons. NCBI's taxonomy places the organism in Eukaryota, Metazoa, Mollusca, Bivalvia, Myida, Dreissenidae. The record is from RefSeq and is a predicted model, not a curated record.